Molecule: transfer RNA, 71 nt
Filed under: Catillopecten margaritatus
Lineage: Eukaryota; Metazoa; Mollusca; Bivalvia; Pectinida; Propeamussiidae
Description: Catillopecten sp. m YTL-2023 tRNA-Tyr
Source: RNAcentral
AGCAAGAUGGCCGAGAAGGUGAAUGGUUGUAAACUAUUUUACGGGGGAAAUGAAUAAUCCUUCUCUUGUUA